GAGUAACACGUGAGCAACCUGCCCCUGACUCUGGGAUAAGCGCUGGAAACGGCGUCUAAUACUGGAUAUGUGACGUGACCGCAUGGUCUGCGUCUGGAAAGAAUUUCGGUUGGGGAUGGGCUCGCGGCCUAUCAGCUUGUUGGUGAGGUAAUGGCUCACCAAGGCGUCGACGGGUAGCCGGCCUGAGAGGGUGACCGGCCACACUGGGACUGAGACACGGCCCAGACUCCUACGGGAGGCAGCAGUGGGG
Molecule: ribosomal RNA, 250 nt
Filed under: Microbacterium maritypicum
Lineage: Bacteria; Bacillati; Actinomycetota; Actinomycetes; Micrococcales; Microbacteriaceae
Description: Microbacterium liquefaciens partial 16S ribosomal RNA
Rfam family: Bacterial small subunit ribosomal RNA
Source: RNAcentral